Long non-coding RNA from Leucoraja erinaceus (little skate), 2307 nucleotides. RefSeq lists it as uncharacterized. Lineage: Eukaryota; Metazoa; Chordata; Chondrichthyes; Rajiformes; Rajidae. The transcript has 3 exons. The record is from RefSeq and is a predicted model, not a curated record.
CGCGAGGCGGAGACAGACAGAGGUUGACAGGAGGUGUGGAGACGGCCGCCGCCAUCUCACACACACACACCGUGUCCUUACCAGGAGGCCGGGCCGGGGCCGGGCGGUGCGGCCGCCGUGGGCUCGCUGUCCUCCCCGCGACCAACACAAUUUCAACAUCCAAUUCUAUGAAGGGGAUGAAUGACCAGCUGCCAAUGCCCAUUUCCACAUUAACAUCAUCCAGCCCAGCAAGAUCGCAGCAAUACAACGCCGGCCUUUGUCCAGAUGAAAUACUUCCUUUGGCUGCUCGUUAAUUAAUGAUCCCCCAAGGAUGAUUGGGAAAGGUGAAUUGGACGAGGUAUAUCCGCGCUUUAUUCCAAUUAACACAGCGUUGCAAAGCGGGGAAAGGCUGAAAGCUGAACGGUGUCUGGACUCAUCAGAUGUCUUGCUUAGAAUGCAAACACCGUUAAAGUUGCAUCUCGAUCAUUAACACCGCGAAUGCGCGCUUUAGCAGGAUCUGAAUGCUAGCUUGCAUGCACAGUUUGAACAAAACGUUUCUCCAAAAGUAUAAAAGUUAAAAAUACAACUGAAAUACUGAUUGCUUAACUUUGGAAUUUCCUAUCGCGAAAUUAUUUUGGGGCAUGCAUUAUUCAGGGUAGGUGGACUGCCGAAGAUCCCAAUUACAACCUGAACGAUUUUUAGUACGUUUAGUGUUUUCAGAAGAAGUAUUGUUUUUUUUAAUUCAGUGCCGUGGUCCUAUACUAACAUUUCAAUGUGAUAUUCACCAGUAUGGCAACUUUGACAUUGAAGAAUAACAAUCAGACGUGAACGCAUGUCAAGUACAGAGAAUAGAACAGCUCAUAUAUUUACAUAUAACAUUUAAUUGUACACGUUUGGCAGCGUAAAUAUAUCAUAAAUGGGUUAAGAUAUGUUUCGAAUGUAAUAUUCCCCUAAAGAAAUGUGCUAGUUUAUCUCAGAGAUAGGAAUAGCAAUUCGGAAAGCGUUUUACUGGAAAUUAAUCAAAAUCUUAGUUCCGGAAGCAAUCUCCGUUGUCCAAAGUGUGAGAGGAAACUCAUUAAGUAACAGGUGAACGGGGCAAAUACUAGAUGCGAUAUUUUUUUUUAGCAAAUGGACCAGAAGCUCAGACGAAACGGCGACAAAUAAAAGUUUGAAUUGAUCUUUACGCCUUAGCUAUGAAAAAUCGGCUCAGGUUUGUAAAUAGGACAAAAUGACAUGCAUAUUAGCCACAGAGAUCAGCCGCGGACAGUAUACUUUGAAAUGGUGCUUAAUCUUCAUGGAAUUGAUUUCUUUGCAAGAGCAGAGUGUUUCUGUGUGUGUUAAACACUCGAGCCAAAAAAGCAAGGCCGACAUGGAAGAACUAUGUCCAAACACAAAGGCUAAAUGCGGUGCCAUGUUUAGCCAGAGGCCUGGCGUGGACAUCAUAUAUUUUAAAGAACCCGAUUCUCGCAGAUCUUUGAGAAGCCACAAUGUUCCACACUUCCUGGCCGUGUGCUUUGUGGUUUAAUUGUGCAAUAUGGACGGGGAGAGAGAGGAUGGGCACAGAAGAUUCAAGGAGUGGUUGGUGGUGAUGUUUCCAUCACCCCACAAAAUCAGCCCCCAUCCCAGCCCCGCUCCUUCACCCGCUGCAGCCCAUUGGAAAAACCCUCCUAUCUGGGCGAUGAACCGAUCACGCUGAAUAUUUGUUCCCAGUGCCAGUUUCAUUCAUCUAAACCCUCUUUAACUCACGCUGCCUCGCUAGUCCCCAACUAUAAAACCUCUGCUAUUCAUUAAUCAAACGACCAACACUGGGACACGACGGGGCCAAAUAAUUGCCGAAAUGGGUAACUCGAAGAACAUUUUGAGACGCAAAUAUCCGUAGCGUUUGUUUUUCACGACAGCAUUUACCACAAAAAAAAACCCCCUUCAAAUACCGGGAAACGGUUUUUGUUUGCCCAUUGGCCAGAAUUCAGGUGGCAUGGGAUUCCGGCUUUUCGCGGCGUCAAUGGGUCGUUAUAUUAACAAUAUUCAACCAUAUUCAACCGCUCACCGUUUCCCUUCAAUGGCCAAAUUAUUGAUCGUAAUUCAACUCCAUACACGAAUGAUAGGUGCUUGGAAAUCGCAACCGACUCGGGUUGCUGGAGAUUACACUGUUUGUGCUGAUUCUUAUUUACUCGUUUUGGGUGUUAUUUGUUGAGAUUAAUAUUGUACUCCAGCGCUCUUGGUGAAAUUAACGAUUUUUAAAAAUCGACCUAUUGAUGUGUAAGCACACACACACACACACACACACACACACACACACACACACACACACACACACACACACACACA